Molecule: long non-coding RNA, 906 nt
Organism: Marmota monax (woodchuck)
Lineage: Eukaryota; Metazoa; Chordata; Mammalia; Rodentia; Sciuridae
Exons: 3
Source: RefSeq, a predicted model, not a curated record
UUUCACUUUAUGAGACUUGAGAUAAGGUACAGUUCCCUUGAUGUUUGAGAACCAUACAAGAUGCUGAGAGUUGGGGGCCUCUUCUCUUACAGCUUCUGGCUAGUAGAACUCUAGUGUUGAAGAACGUGUCACAACAGCACACUCUGCCAUUGACAGCAGCCCCAGGAAGUUGCUGAUCUGUAGCAUAUUCACACUCUGAUGAAAUCCUAAUGCUCCCUGCUCCUCAGAAAAGACCAACUUAUAAGAAUCUCCAGUUCUGAUGUUUAUUUUCCUUUCUCAGUCACCAGGAUGAGAGAGGUAGACAUAAAAGAGGAAAGAGAAAUGGACACAGAAAAGAAAGUAGCCACACAAAGAAUUGGGGUCCCACUGACAAAAUAAGAAUGAGCCCUUCCUCAAGAAAAUGCUGGAAGUCCUUGACUUACAUCAGGGGAUUGAGGAAGAACUUCGACGGGGACCUCUUAGUGGACCUCACCUUGGGCUUGCGCUUGCUCUCGUCCAUGAUCAUCUUCCAGUCGGAGCCAUUGUUGCUGUACCCUAUCUUGAACUUCCUCAUGAACACCUUGUUCUCUCGGUGCUUCCCACCCUGAAUGAUGAUGCCCCUCACAAUCUUCUCCUCCCCCAGGUCCACCUGGAGCCACUCAUUGACGUAGGGGUGGGGUGCAGGCGGCAGUGCCCAGCCGGAGCGACUGGUGACCAGACGGAUGUUUUCGGGCAUCCAGUUUCUCUCCCCUUGGUUGGAUGCUGCAAUCUGGGAGUCUGAGAUGAGUCCAGACACCAUGCCCAGCAUUCCAGAGCAAGGAUAAUCUAGGAGGUGGAACGAAACAGAUAAUGUAAAAUUAUUUUAUGGGAAAAUAGUUUCUAGAAAGAAAAUGCAACCAUUUGAAUAAAGACAGUGUCUUCUACCCA